RNAcentral lists this transfer RNA (73 nucleotides) under Bos taurus (domestic cattle). It matches the Rfam family "tRNA". Rfam says of the family: Transfer RNA (tRNA) molecules are approximately 80 nucleotides in length. Their secondary structure includes four short double-helical elements and three loops (D, anti-codon, and T loops). RNAcentral also lists the same sequence under 4 other names. The record is from Rfam by way of RNAcentral. Lineage: Eukaryota; Metazoa; Chordata; Mammalia; Artiodactyla; Bovidae.
UCUCUGGUGGUCCAGUGGUUAAGAGUCUGUGCUUUCACCGCAAGGAGCACAGGUUCGAUCCCUGUUCAGGGAA